RNAcentral lists this ribosomal RNA (420 nucleotides) under uncultured Paenarthrobacter sp. RNAcentral's name for it is "bacterial SSU rRNA". It matches the Rfam family "Bacterial small subunit ribosomal RNA", at positions 358 to 790 of the family's 1533-position model. The record is from RNAcentral. Lineage: Bacteria; Bacillati; Actinomycetota; Actinomycetes; Micrococcales; Micrococcaceae.
GGAAUAUUGCACAAUGGGCGCAAGCCUGAUGCAGCGACGCCGCGUGAGGGAUGACGGCCUUCGGGUUGUAAACCUCUUUCAGUAGGGAAGAAGCGAAAGUGACGGUACCUGCAGAAGAAGCGCCGGCUAACUACGUGCCAGCAGCCGCGGUAAUACGUAGGGCGCAAGCGUUAUCCGGAAUUAUUGGGCGUAAAGAGCUCGUAGGCGGUUUGUCGCGUCUGCUGUGAAAGACCGGGGCUCAACUCCGGUUCUGCAGUGGGUACGGGCAGACUAGAGUGCAGUAGGGGAGACUGGAAUUCCUGGUGUAGCGGUGAAAUGCGCAGAUAUCAGGAGGAACACCGAUGGCGAAGGCAGGUCUCUGGGCUGUAACUGACGCUGAGGAGCGAAAGCAUGGGGAGCGAACAGGAUUAGAUACCCUUG